GACGAACGCUGGCGGCGUGCUUAACACAUGCAAGUCGAACGGAAAGGCCCUGCUUUUGUGGGGUGCUCGAGUGGCGAACGGGUGAGUAACACGUGAGUAACCUGCCCUUGACUUUGGGAUAACUUCAGGAAACUGGGGCUAAUACCGGAUAGGAGCUCCUGCUGCAUGGUGGGGGUUGGAAAGUUUCGGCGGUUGGGGAUGGACUCGCGGCUUAUCAGCUUGUUGGUGGGGUAGUGGCUUACCAAGGCUUCGACGGGUAGCCGGCCUGAGAGGGUGGACAGCCACAUUGGGACUGAGAUACGGACCAGACUGCUACGGUGGGCAGCAGUGGGGAAUAUUGCACAAUGGGCGGAAGCGUGAUGCGGGAACGCCGCGUGCGGGAUGACGGCCUUCGGGUUGUAAACCGCUUUCGCCUGUGACGAAGCGUGAGUGACGGUAAUGGGUAAAGAAGCACCGGCUAACUACGUG
RNAcentral lists this ribosomal RNA (468 nucleotides) under uncultured bacterium. Its description in RNAcentral is "partial 16S ribosomal RNA". It matches the Rfam family "Bacterial small subunit ribosomal RNA", at positions 28 to 507 of the family's 1533-position model. The record is from RNAcentral.